This 394-nucleotide ribosomal RNA is filed under the name uncultured bacterium. RNAcentral's name for it is "partial 16S ribosomal RNA". It matches the Rfam family "Bacterial small subunit ribosomal RNA", at positions 338 to 729 of the family's 1533-position model. The record is from RNAcentral.
CCUACGGGAGGCAGCAGUGAGGAAUAUUGGUCAAUGGACGGAAGUCUGAACCAGCCAUGCCGCGUGCAGGAAGACGGCCCUAUGAGUUGUAAACUGCUUUUGUACAAGGGUAAACCUGAAGACGUGUAUCCAGCUGAAAGUACUGUACGAAUAAGGAUCGGCUAACCCAGUGCCAGCAGACGCGGUAAUACGGAGGAUCCAAGCGUUAUCCGGAUUUAUUGGGGUUAAAGGGUGAGUAGGCGGUUUGAUAAGUUAGAGGUGAAAUGUCCGGGCUUAACUCGGGAACUGCCUCUGAUACUGUUGAUCUAGAGAGUAGUAGCGGUAGGCAGAAUGUAUGGUGUAGCGGUGAAAUGCGUAGAGAUCAUACAGAACACCGGUUGCGAAGGCAGCUUAC